CAUCCCUUUUUUUAAGGGAUAGGGUCGGUUCGGCCGGAUUUUACACAAGUGUUGCAUGGCUGUCGUCAGCUCGUGUCGUGAGAUGUUGGGUUAAGUCCCGCAACGAGCGCAACCCUCAUCCUUAGUUGCUAUCAGGUAAUGCUGAGUACUUUAAGGAAACUGCCAGUGAUAAGCUGGAGGAAGGUGGGGAUGAUGUCAAGUCAUCAUGGCCUUUAUGGAGUGGGCUACACACGUGCUACAAUGGUGUCUACAAUGGGCUGCAAGGUGCGCAAGCCUAAGCUAAUCCCUAAAAGACAUCUCAGUUCGGAUUGUACUCUGCAACUCGAGUACAUGAAGUUGGAAUCGCUAGUAAUCGUGGAUCAGCAUGCCACGGUGAAUACGUUCUCGGGUCUUGUACACACUGCCCGUCACGCCAUGGGAAUUGGUUUACUUUCCAAAG
Molecule: ribosomal RNA, 439 nt
Filed under: Wolbachia endosymbiont of Trioza erytreae
Lineage: Bacteria; Pseudomonadati; Pseudomonadota; Alphaproteobacteria; Rickettsiales; Anaplasmataceae
Description: bacterial SSU rRNA
Rfam family: Bacterial small subunit ribosomal RNA
Source: RNAcentral